ACCUGCGGAAGGAUCGUUA
This 19-nucleotide ribosomal RNA is filed under the name uncultured Piloderma. RNAcentral describes it as "partial 18S ribosomal RNA". RNAcentral also lists the same sequence under 1 other name. Lineage: Eukaryota; Fungi; Basidiomycota; Agaricomycetes; Atheliales; Atheliaceae. The record is from RNAcentral.